Molecule: non-coding RNA, 528 nt
Organism: Manis javanica (Malayan pangolin)
Lineage: Eukaryota; Metazoa; Chordata; Mammalia; Pholidota; Manidae
Source: RefSeq, a predicted model, not a curated record
CAAAAGCCCAACUGGGGGCAGAGCAGACAGUCACAGCUGGUUUUAGCGCGAAGAAUUUCUCGGCGCUUUCUGCAUUGCUUUUGAACAACUUUGCCUUUUGGUUGCAAAUGGAGACCGUUAUCAAAGCCAGCUAGAUCGGGUUACAGGCGGUCCUGUCUUCUGUUCACAAUGGCACUUCUGUGCCUUGAAGCCUCCGUUCAUGUUUAAAUGGACAUGAAGGAAGUUCCUUUCUGAAACCACAGAAGAAGACAACCCAAAGUCCCGCUCCGUGUUUCUGCUGGUCUUCUUUUGAAGAACAGGCAAGAUGAGUCUACAUCUCAGUCAUCUGUGAGGCUGACAAGCCCGGGCUGACAAGCCCACUAACAAGUCUGAGGUCGGACCACCACUCGGCCCUCGGGUUCAGAGAACAAGCAUAGAAAAAGCAAUGGUGCAGGACAGGUAUUUUUGAGGCGUAAAUAAGUCAUAUAUAGACGUAUUUUAUCCCCUCUCACCAUUUUUUUACAUACAUGAAAGCUACUUUACACCCAG